GUUGGAGGAGACGCUGGAGAUACCCCCGCAAUGAAGACUGGACUUGCCCCAGGAACCCAAUGAUCGUAAGCAGCAGUGGCACCUGGAGACUAGGAUGUACUGCUGCAACCAUAGAGGAAGCGUCAAGAGAGCUCUGGAAGGACAGCUGGAUGGCUCAGCACACACCCAGGGGUAAUGGAAAUUAGUGAUCAUAGAUGCAGUCCUGAUUUACACACCAUUGCUAACAUGCCAGAGUGUGGAGCACGAGGAGACCUGUUCAUUAUCCUGGUCAUGGAAGACGGGAAACCGGAAGGUCCUGUGCUUUUGCCACAAGCACAGGCUCAACGUGAAAACCCUUCUUGUAACCUCACAUUCAUGACCCAUUGUCCCCUCUGUGGAGCCAUCUGCUGAUGCUGGGACCUCCGCCCAAGCUUUCUCUUCGGACAGGAAAUCGCUGCCAAAAAGGGGUGAAAGAUUGUAACAGCUAGAGGAUCAGGGAGUUUGCUGUGGGAUAGUGUCUCCUAGAAAUGGCAGAAACUACAGCCAGAGAGUCUCAUCAACGUGGCUGGCUAAACAUAAACUAAACAAGGACAGUAACAACAGACAAGCUAAGAUGGACAGGGGAAGCCCACAGGCCUCAGUCCCACACAAAGAAUUACAGGCAAAUAAGGAAUGCUGAGAAUGGGAGAGAAAGUGUCCGCAAGGAAGAACACAGGAACUGGUUUUCCAAUACCAAACGGCCAACCCUAAAAACAUACAUACAAGUACCAUUAUACAGCCUGAGCAGGUUGUAUUUAUGUAUAUAGGAUUACAUAUGUAUAUAUGUAUGUGCCAACAAUUAACUUAAAAAGAGGCGUAGAUUUGACAGAGGGCAAGGAGGGUUUGGGGGGGAGAAGAAAGAAAGAGGA
This is a long non-coding RNA of Psammomys obesus (fat sand rat), 887 nucleotides long. RefSeq lists it as uncharacterized. NCBI's taxonomy places the organism in Eukaryota, Metazoa, Chordata, Mammalia, Rodentia, Muridae. The transcript has 4 exons. The record is from RefSeq and is a predicted model, not a curated record.